Molecule: ribosomal RNA, 253 nt
Filed under: uncultured bacterium
Lineage: Bacteria
Description: partial 16S ribosomal RNA
Rfam family: Bacterial small subunit ribosomal RNA
Source: RNAcentral
UACGUAGGGUGCGAGCGUUAAUCGGAAUUACUGGGCGUAAAGCGUGCGUAGGCGGUCCGCGAAGUCUGAUGUGAAAGCCCCGGGCUCAACCUGGGAACUGCAUUGGAAACUAACGGGCUCGAGUGUGGCAGAGGGGGGUGGAAUUCCACGUGUAACAGUGAAAUGCGUAGAGAUGUGGAGGAACACCGAUGGCGAAGGCAGCCCCCUGGGCUAACACUGACGCUCAUGCACGAAAGCGUGGGGAGCAAACAGG